AGUGAACGCUGGCGGCGUGCUUAACACAUGCAAGUCGAACGAGAACGGAUUAUAGCUUGCUAUAAUUGUCAGCUAAGUGGCGCACGGGUGAGUAAUGUAUAGGUAAUAUGCCUCUUACUAAGGGAUAACAAAUGGAAACGUUUGCUAAUACCUUAUACUCCUUAUUAACAGAAGUUACUAAGGUAAAGAUUUAUUGGUAAGAGAUUAGCCUGUAUUGUAUCAGUUAGUUGGUGGGGUAAUGGCUUACCAAGACUAUGACACAUAACUGGUCUGAGAGGAUGAUCAGUCACACUGGAACUGAGACACGGUCCAGACUCCUACGGGAGGCAGCAGUGGGGAAUAUUGCACAAUGGACGAAAGUCUGAUGCAGCAACGCCGAGUGGAGGAUGACACAUUUCGGUGCGUAAACUCCUUUUAUAUGAGAAGAUAAUGACGGUAUUAUAUGAAUAAGCACCGGCUAACUCCGUGCCAGCCGCCGCGGUAA
Molecule: ribosomal RNA, 484 nt
Filed under: uncultured bacterium
Lineage: Bacteria
Description: partial 16S ribosomal RNA
Rfam family: Bacterial small subunit ribosomal RNA
Source: RNAcentral